RNAcentral lists this ribosomal RNA (301 nucleotides) under uncultured bacterium. RNAcentral describes it as "partial 16S ribosomal RNA". It matches the Rfam family "Bacterial small subunit ribosomal RNA", at positions 509 to 809 of the family's 1533-position model. The record is from RNAcentral.
CAGUCGCCGCGGGAAUACGAAGGGGGCUAGCGUUGUUCGGAUUUACUGGGCGUAAAGGGCGCGUAGGCGGACUGAUAAGUCAGGGGUGAAAUCCCAAGGCUCAACCUUGGAACUGCCUUUGAUACUGUUUGUCUUGAGUUCGAGAGAGGUAAGUGGAACUGCGAGUGUAGAGGUGAAAUUCGUAGAUAUUCGCAAGAACACCAGUGGCGAAGGCGGCUUACUGGCUCGAAACUGACGCUGAGGCGCGAAAGCGUGGGGAGCAAACAGGAUUAGAUACCCCCGUAGUCCCUGUCUCUUAUAA